CCUACGGGAGGCAGCAGUGAGGAAUAUUGGUCAAUGGCCGUAAGGCUGAACCAGCCAAGUCGCGUGAAGGAAGAAGGAUCUAUGGUUUGUAAACUUCUUUUAUAGGGGAAUAAAGGUAUCCACGUGUGGAUAUUUGCAUGUACCCUUUGAAUAAGCAUCGGCUAACUCCGUGCCAGCAGCCGCGGUAAUCCGGAGGAUGCGAGCGUUAUCCGGAUUUAGUGGGUGUAAUGGGUGCGUAGGUUGUGUUUUAAGUCAGCGGUGAAAGUUUGUGGCUCAACCAUAAAAUUGCCGUUGAAACUGGAAGACUUGAGUAUGUUUGAGGUAGGCGGAAUGCGUGGUGUAGCGGUGAAAUGCAUAGAUAUCACGCAGAACUCCGAUUGCGAAGGCAGCUUACUAAGCCAUAACUGACACUGAGGCACGAAAGCGUGGGGAUCAAACAGGAUUAGAUACCCUAGUAGUC
RNAcentral lists this ribosomal RNA (460 nucleotides) under uncultured bacterium. RNAcentral's name for it is "partial 16S ribosomal RNA". It matches the Rfam family "Bacterial small subunit ribosomal RNA", at positions 338 to 795 of the family's 1533-position model. The record is from RNAcentral.